RNAcentral lists this ribosomal RNA (497 nucleotides) under uncultured bacterium. RNAcentral describes it as "partial 16S ribosomal RNA". It matches the Rfam family "Bacterial small subunit ribosomal RNA", at positions 28 to 507 of the family's 1533-position model. The record is from RNAcentral.
GACGAACGCUGGCGGCGUGCCUAAUACAUGCAAGUUGAGCGCUGAAGGUUGGUACUUGUCCCUACUGGAUGAGCAGCGAACGGGUGAGUAACGCGUGGGGAAUCUGCCUUUGAGCGGGGGACAACAUUUGGAAACGAAUGCUAAUACCGCAUAAAAACUUUAAACACAAGUUUUAAGUUUGAAAGAUGCAAUUGCAUCACUCAAAGAUGAUCCCGCGUUGUAUUAGCUAGUUGGUGAGGUAAAGGCUCAACAAGGCGAUGAUACAUAGCCGACCUGAGAGGGUGAUCGGCCACAUUUGGACUGAGACACCGCCCAAACUCCUACGGGAGGCAGCAGUAGGGAAUCUUCGGCAAUGGACGAAAGUCUGACCGAGCAACGCCGCGUGAAUGAAGAAGGUUUUCGGAUCGUAAAACUCUGUUGGUAGGGAAGAACGUUGGUGGGAGUGGAAAGCUCAUCAAGUGACGGUAACUACCCAGAAAGGGACGGCUAACUACGUG